This 535-nucleotide ribosomal RNA is filed under the name uncultured bacterium. Its description in RNAcentral is "bacterial SSU rRNA". It matches the Rfam family "Bacterial small subunit ribosomal RNA", at positions 28 to 525 of the family's 1533-position model. The record is from RNAcentral.
GACGAACGCUGGCGGCGUGCCUAACACAUGCAAGUCGAACGGAAGUUAGAUGUUAGACGGUAGAGAUUAGAGAAAAGAAGAUAGAAGCUCUAAUAUCCAGCGUCUAAUGUCUAACUUUAGUGGCGGACGGGUGAGUAACGCGUGAGCAACCUGCCUUUCUGAGGGGAAUAACGUUUGGAAACGAACGCUAAUACCGCAUAACAUCUUUUUGUCGCAUGGCAGAAAGAUCAAAGGAAGCAAUUCCGCAGAAAGAUGGGCUCGCGUCCGAUUAGCCAGUUGGCGGGGUAACGGCCCACCAAAGCGACGAUCGGUAGCCGGACUGAGAGGUUGACCGGCCACAUUGGGACUGAGACACGGCCCAGACUCCUACGGGAGGCAGCAGUGGGGGAUAUUGCACAAUGGGGGAAACCCUGAUGCAGCAACGCCGCGUGAGGGAAGAAGGUUUUCGGAUUGUAAACCUCUGUCCUCGGUGAAGAUAAUGACGGUAGCCGAGGAGGAAGCUCCGGCUAACUACGUGCCAGCCGCCGCAGUAAUA